This 396-nucleotide long non-coding RNA is filed under the name Helianthus annuus (common sunflower). RNAcentral's name for it is "sRNA HanXRQr2_Chr02g0064791". Lineage: Eukaryota; Viridiplantae; Streptophyta; Magnoliopsida; Asterales; Asteraceae. The record is from RNAcentral.
UUUGGAGAGUUCGACUUCUCAUUAUCUUCUUCGAAACAAACCGACACACAAUUCCAGUAUAAACCAUUCCAAACCCCACCAUCGUUCGAAGUUGUUUCGUUGUUCCGUCGCACCGCUUCAACGCUCUUACAAACCACCGUCGCACUUUGCCGUAGCCGCCCUCCGUCUUUGGUCUAACUCCAUCGUCACGCUACUCCGCCGUGUUCAGGCCGCAACCAUCGCUACUGUUUGACGCGUUUUCUUUUGAUCAUCCGAAGUUUUAGCUGUUGUUGGUUCGGUCAGAUCCGUUACGCGAUUAAGUUAGUUAUUAUGACCGAUGUAGUAGUUCUUAUCAUUAAAAUAAAGGUUCUUGAUUUUCGGGGUCAACUUGAUUAUUGGUUUUUGCUUGUGUGCUAA